GCCUACUACUGCUGCAAGCUGGCAGAGCUGGUCCCCCAGCAGAGCCCCACACUCUGGGGACAAAGGCAGUGGUGCCAGCAGAGGUGCAGGCAGGCAGCGACGGGGGUUCGGUUCCCGGCGCCGCUGCGGAUUGUGUGUGCGACCUUGGGCCCAGUGCGGAAAAGGAGACACCGUCGCUGCUCGAACGAAGGAACGAGAGGAAUAUCCCUGUCUCCGGGGUCGAUCUCCAGCGCCCCUCCUAGCACGAAAGCUGCAGCAGAGAUCAGAGCUGUUUGCUUUGCUGUGAUUACAUGGACGCGCCAGCUGGCCUGAUGGGCUGGAAAUCCCACGCCCGCCCAAAGGUCACGCUUGCAAGAGAGAGGCGCCUCUACCCUUGGGUCCUCUCAGCCUCCAGAAAUUCCAUGGCUAGCAGGGACCAUUGUGAUCAUCUAGUCUGACCCUUAAAACACAGGCCCGAGAACUUCCUCAAGAUAAUUCCCGGAGCAGAUCUUUUAGAAAAACAUCCCAGCUUGAUUUAAAAAGUGUCAAGUGAUGGAGCAUCCACCACGA
Molecule: long non-coding RNA, 549 nt
Organism: Trachemys scripta elegans
Lineage: Eukaryota; Metazoa; Chordata; Testudines; Emydidae
Exons: 3
Source: RefSeq, a predicted model, not a curated record